This 389-nucleotide ribosomal RNA is filed under the name uncultured bacterium. RNAcentral describes it as "bacterial SSU rRNA". It matches the Rfam family "Bacterial small subunit ribosomal RNA", at positions 29 to 424 of the family's 1533-position model. The record is from RNAcentral.
AGCGAACGUUUGCGGCGGGCCUAACACAUGCAAGUCGAACGGGCUAGCAAUAGUCAGUGGCGCACGGGUGCGUAACACGUGGGUAAUCAACCCUUCAGCUCGGGAUAACGCCUUGAAAGGGGCGCUAAUACCGGAUACGACGCGAGGAGCUUCGGCUGCCCGCGGGAAAGAUUCGCAAGGAUCUCUGAAGGACGAGCCUGCGGCCCAUCAGCUAGUUGGUGAGGUAAGAGCUCACCAAGGCGAAGACGGGUAGCUGGUCUGAGAGGAUGAUCAGCCACACUGGAACUGAGACACGGUCCAGACUCCUACGGGAGGCAGCAGUGGGGAAUAUUGCGCAAUGGGCGAAAGCCUGACGCAGCCACGCCGCGUGAGCGAUGAAGGCCUCGGUC